This 72-nucleotide transfer RNA is filed under the name Ameiurus melas (black bullhead). Its description in RNAcentral is "tRNA-Glu". Lineage: Eukaryota; Metazoa; Chordata; Actinopteri; Siluriformes; Ictaluridae. The record is from RNAcentral.
UCCCUGGUUGUCUAGUGGUAAGCAUUCGGUGCGCUCACCGCCGUGGCCCAGGUUCGAUUCCCGGUCAGGGAA